AGCUUUAUGUCAUUCAUCUAAAGUAAUUCCUGCUCAGUGCACACAAACAGCCGCAGAACUUUAUACUGUGCUAAGGUAGCAUAAUCACUUGUCUUCUAAUUAAAGAAUAGAAUGAACGGAACAACGAAUUUUAACCUGUUUCACUUUUUCUCAAUAAAACUACUUAAAAGUAAAAACACUUUUACUCAAAAAAAAGACGAUAAGACCCUAAAGAACUUCACUAAAGUUAAGCUGGGGCGGCCUAAAUAAAAAAAUCUUAUUUAAUAUCGUUCAUCCUAAUUAUAUUACUACUAAUGUUACCUUAGGGAUAACAGCACAAUUUAAUUUUACAGCUCUUAUUCAAAAUUAAGAUUGUGACCUCGAUGUUGAAUUAAAAAUCUAUUAAACGAAAAAAAUUAACAAGAAAGUCUGUUCGACCUUUAAACAAUUACA
This 432-nucleotide ribosomal RNA is filed under the name Dysdera erythrina. Its description in RNAcentral is "partial 16S ribosomal RNA". It matches the Rfam family "Bacterial large subunit ribosomal RNA", at positions 1832 to 2600 of the family's 2925-position model. Lineage: Eukaryota; Metazoa; Arthropoda; Arachnida; Araneae; Dysderidae. The record is from RNAcentral.